RNAcentral lists this ribosomal RNA (597 nucleotides) under Genocidaris maculata. RNAcentral's name for it is "partial 16S ribosomal RNA". It matches the Rfam family "Bacterial large subunit ribosomal RNA", at positions 1819 to 2626 of the family's 2925-position model. Lineage: Eukaryota; Metazoa; Echinodermata; Echinoidea; Camarodonta; Genocidaridae. The record is from RNAcentral.
CGCUCCUUGAAUUAUAAACAUAGGGAGUCCUGCCUGCCCAGUGACUAGAGGUUAAACGGCCGCGGUAUCUUGACCGUGCGAAGGUAGCAUAAUCAUUUGUCUCCUAAAUAGAGACUAGUAUGAAUGGCAAGACGGAACAAAACUGUCUCUUUCUCACAACCCUGAAUUUCACUUCCCCGUGAAGAGGCGAGGAUAAAAUCGCUAGACGAGAAGACCCUGUCGAGCUUAAGCAGAAACCAAGCCCAUAAUCUAUUUACUCUGCUCUAAUUAAUAAUACUAAUCAGAAGUGAAUUCUUAUUUUUUUUGGCAAAAGCUUUGGUUGGGGCAACCGCGGAGCAAAACAACCCUCCGCUAAUAAAAUACUAUAUAAAAGAGUAACAACUCUAGAAUCAAACUGAAACUAAUGAUCCACUAAGGUGAUCAAAGGAACAAGUUACCGCAGGGAUAACAGCGUUAUCUUUUCUGAGAGUUCACAUUGACGAAAAGGUUUGCGACCUCGAUGUUGGAUCGGGACAUCCUAAGGGUGCAGAAGCUUUUAAGGGUUGGUCUGUUCGACCAUUAAAGUCCUACGUGAUCUGAGUUCAGACCGGCGAAAGC